AGUGGCGAACGGGUGAGUAACACGUGAGUAACCUGCCCUUGACUCUGGGAUAACUGCUAGAAAUGGUAGCUAAUACCGGAUACGACCCUCGGCGGCAUCGCCAGGGGGUGGAAAGAAUUUCGGUCAAGGAUGGACUCGCGGCCUAUCAGCUAGUUGGUGAGGUAACGGCUCACCAAGGCGACGACGGGUAGCCGGCCUGAGAGGGUGACCGGCCACACUGGGACUGAGACACGGCCCAGACUCCUACGGGAGGCAGCAGUGGGGAAUAUUGCACAAUGGGCGCAAGCCUGAUGCAGCAACGCCGCGUGAGGGAUGACGGCCUUCGGGUUGUAAACCUCUUUUAGUAGGGAAGAAGCGAAAGUGACGGUACCUGCAGAAAAAGCACCGGCUAACUACGUGCCAGCAGCCGCGGUAAUACGUAGGGUGCAAGCGUUGUCCGGAAUUAUUGGGCGUAAAGAGCUCGUAGGCGGUUUGUCGCGUCUGCUGUGAAAUCCCGAGGCUCAACCUCGGGCCUGCAGUGGGUACGGGCAAACUAGAGUGUGGUAGGGGAGAUUGGAACUCCAGGUGUAGCGGUGGAAUGCGCAGAUAUCAGGAAGAACACCGAUGGCGAAGGCAGAUCUCUGGGCCAUUACUGACGCUGAGGAGCGAAAGCGUGGGGAGCGAACAGGAUUAGAUACCCUGGUAGUCCACGCCGUAAACG
RNAcentral lists this ribosomal RNA (700 nucleotides) under uncultured Actinomycetes bacterium. RNAcentral's name for it is "bacterial SSU rRNA". It matches the Rfam family "Bacterial small subunit ribosomal RNA", at positions 94 to 808 of the family's 1533-position model. Lineage: Bacteria; Bacillati; Actinomycetota; Actinomycetes. The record is from RNAcentral.